AGCGAACGCUGGCGGCAGGCUUAACACAUGCAAGUCGAGCGGGCAUCCUUGUGGUGUCAGCGGCAGACGGGUGAGUAACGCGUGGGAACGUGCCCUUCGGUUCGGAAUAACUCAGGGAAACUUGAGCUAAUACCGGAUACGUGCGAGAGCAGAAAGGUUUAUCUGCCGAAGGAUCGGCCCGCGUCUGAUUAGCUAGUUGGUGAGGUUAUGGCUCACCAAGGCGACGAUCAGUAGCUGGUCUGAGAGGAUGAUCAGCCACACUGGGACUGAGACACGGCCCAGACUCCUACGGGAGGCAGCAGUGGGGAAUAUUGGACAAUGGGGGCAACCCUGAUCCAGCCAUGCCGCGUGAGUGAUGACGGCAUUAGGGUUGUAAAGCUCUUUUCUCCGGGACGAUAAUGACGGUACCGGAGGAAUAAGCCCCGGCUAACUUCGUG
RNAcentral lists this ribosomal RNA (437 nucleotides) under uncultured bacterium. RNAcentral describes it as "partial 16S ribosomal RNA". It matches the Rfam family "Bacterial small subunit ribosomal RNA", at positions 29 to 507 of the family's 1533-position model. The record is from RNAcentral.